UACGAAGGGGGCUAGCGUUGCUCGGAAUCACUGGGCGUAAAGCGCACGUAGGCGGAUCUUUAAGUCAGGGGUGAAAUCCUGGAGCUCAACUCCAGAACUGCCUUUGAUACUGGGGAUCUCGAGUCCGGAAGAGGUGAGUGGAACUCCGAGUGUAGAGGUGAAAUUCGUAGAUAUUCGGAAGAACACCAGUGGCGAAGGCGGCUCACUGGUCCGGUACUGACGCUGAGGCACGAAAGCGUGGGGAUCAAACAGG
RNAcentral lists this ribosomal RNA (253 nucleotides) under uncultured bacterium. RNAcentral describes it as "partial 16S ribosomal RNA". It matches the Rfam family "Bacterial small subunit ribosomal RNA", at positions 524 to 776 of the family's 1533-position model. The record is from RNAcentral.